CCCUAGCCCCGAUAGAAGUGGAAAUCCUUAUUGUUUUCUUUCAAAAACAAUAAGAUUGUAACGAAUAGCGGGAAAUAGC
RNAcentral lists this small RNA (79 nucleotides) under Flavobacterium degerlachei. RNAcentral describes it as "Flavo-1 RNA". It matches the Rfam family "Flavo-1 RNA". The record is from RNAcentral. Lineage: Bacteria; Pseudomonadati; Bacteroidota; Flavobacteriia; Flavobacteriales; Flavobacteriaceae.